Molecule: transfer RNA, 71 nt
Filed under: Gemmatimonadota bacterium
Lineage: Bacteria; Pseudomonadati; Gemmatimonadota
Rfam family: tRNA
About the family: Transfer RNA (tRNA) molecules are approximately 80 nucleotides in length. Their secondary structure includes four short double-helical elements and three loops (D, anti-codon, and T loops). Further hydrogen bonds mediate the characteristic L-shaped molecular structure. tRNAs have two regions of fundamental functional importance: the anti-codon, which is responsible for specific mRNA codon recognition, and the 3' end, to which the tRNAs corresponding amino acid is attached (by aminoacyl-tRNA synthetases). tRNAs cope with the degeneracy of the genetic code in two manners: having more than one tRNA (with a specific anti-codon) for a particular amino acid; and 'wobble' base-pairing, i.e. permitting non-standard base-pairing at the 3rd anti-codon position.
Source: Rfam by way of RNAcentral
CGCGGGGUGGAGAAAAGGUAUCUCGCCAGGCUCAUAACCUGGAGUUCCGGGUUCGACCCCCGGCCCCGCUA